RNAcentral lists this ribosomal RNA (397 nucleotides) under uncultured bacterium. RNAcentral describes it as "partial 16S ribosomal RNA". It matches the Rfam family "Bacterial small subunit ribosomal RNA", at positions 523 to 918 of the family's 1533-position model. The record is from RNAcentral.
AUACGUAGGGGGCGAGCGUUGUCCGGAAUGAUUGGGCGUAAAGGGCGCGUAGGCGGCGCGGUAAGUCUGGAGUGAAAGUCCUGCUUUCAAGGUGGGAAUUGCUUUGGAUACUGCCGCGCUUGAGUGCAGGAGAGGUUAUCGGAAUUCCCGGUGUAGCGGUGAAAUGUGUAGAGAUCGGGAGGAACACCAGUGGCGAAGGCGGGUAACUGGACUGCAACUGACGCUGAGGCGCGAAAGUGUGGGGAGCAAACAGGAUUAGAUACCCUGGUAGUCCACACUGUAAACGAUGAAUGCUAGGUGUAAGAGGUAUCGACCCCUUUUGAGCCGGAGUCAACACAAUAAGCAUUCCGCCUGGGGAGUACGGCCGCAAGGUUGAAACUCAAAUGAAUUGACGGGG